This 2079-nucleotide unclassified non-coding RNA is filed under the name Hevea brasiliensis (rubber tree). The record is from RNAcentral. Lineage: Eukaryota; Viridiplantae; Streptophyta; Magnoliopsida; Malpighiales; Euphorbiaceae.
UAAUAAUAACAAUAAUAAUAAUAUAGCGUAUAAAAAACAAAUUUUCCAUAUUGCUUCCAUGUUUUAUCCUUCAUCAUGAAGGCUUAGUUAUUGUUCAACCCAGAUGAUCCUACUCAUCAACUCUAAAAAGAAGAAAAGUAAUAGCAUUCUGCAUGAAAUAUCAUAAAUUAAAAAUAAACAGACCCUGCAAAUUUAAUAUAUUUCCACAUAUGAUGAGCCUUAUAUAAUGAUUCAACUGAACAACUCAAGAGAUAUUCUCAUUUUGGAUGGGGCAAACAUGUGUUCAUACAUCCCAUUUGACAUGAAAUAUUAGCUAACUGAUCAUCACUGCUGCUUCAUGGAGAGUCAAAACCAAAGCAUGUUGCACUUGAUAAUUCCAAAAAGAUCCAGACAAUCAAAUCACAAAGAAAAUGCCUUUGUGGUUCUUAUUCAGCAACCUUGACAUCUUGGACAAACUGAAAGUUCCCUUUAAAAUUCCCUGUGACAAUCAAUAACCCCAAUAAUCAUUGCGGAUUUCGUCAUCAAACUUCUUCUUUAAAUCAGGAUGCUUCUCAAAGUAUUCAUCAGCGGUCAUGGUACUGAGCUUUUUCUGUUAAUUUGGCAACAAAUCCGUGAGAAUUAAAUAUAAGAAAAUAGAACAUUGUAAGUCUGAAAGAACUAGACAAGGAUAAAAAUGUGCGGCAUCCCCAGCACCUUCAAGUCUUGAACUUCUGCAAUCUCCUUUUCUAGUCUUUCAGACUCCUUAACAGAUUUCUCCUCAGCUUCUUUCAGUUCCACCAACUGUGGUCAAUAUGUUCAACUUCAUUACAUAAAUAAAGGGCACAAAAUGUAAAAAUCUUCGAAUAUUACCAACAUAAAUAAAGGAUAUGAAAUUUAAUGUUCUUUGAACAUUACUAGCACAAAAUUUGACAAGCAUAGAAUGAACCAUUUAUUAUGAACAUUUGCAUAAUUUAGAAAUUUUCUUAACUGGUUAACCUACAUAAUUUCUUCAACAAAAUUACAAACAGAAAACAAGUUGCAGAUCCUUCAGCCUCGAAAAAGUUUAGUAGAAGCUAAAGGAGGAAGUAGUAAUGAAGUCACAGAAACUGCAAAUAAAUACUAUUGAUCUUCACCAGAGAGUCAAACUUUGGUUUGUAUUGAGGAGUGACCUUGUCCACAUACUUGGGGAUCUCAAUGCCUGCAAAGUGAUACACAACAAUGCUAAGUUAAGCUGCAAGCAGGUCAUCAUACAAGAAAAUUCCAAUCAGCACGAUGAGAAUUUUGAUUGAAUAUCUUCACCUCCAAAACUGUUUUACUUUCAGAAUUUCCAUUGAAUAAAACACUCAAGUGCAAUGAUAUAGAAUGUAACACCUGUUUUCUAGUCCUAAUCUUCAAAAACAGCAGCUUCAAAUACCAAGAAAUUUAAAAUCAUUAAGAGGAGCAUUAUCACAAAUUUCCAGCAACACCUAAGCAAGUCAUGUUUCAGGAAAAGAAUAUGAACUACAGGAAUAUUCAUUAGAAGAAAAUGCAAUGGUUUUCCUAAUUUACAAGGAAUUAGGUGGGUAGUCCUCCAACAGCCAAGAAAGAACCAUACUUUUGGAUAAUUUCCAUCAGAAAGAUUUUCAAUUGCUAUAUAGAAACAAGAUAGGUGACUACCACAAAAGUACAAAAUAUAUUCGUUUAUCCAACAACCUAUUGAACAAUAACCAUGUAAAAGACAUACUGUCAUAUGCUUCCUUGUACAUAUCAACCAAGCGAGAACCAAUUCCCCUUCUAUAAUAUUCCCACUCUAUGGGUUCAGGUUCCUGGCUGAACUUGGUUUGGAGCUGGGAAUUGACUUCGUCGAAAGCUCGGCGUAGAGUGGCGAACUCCUUGCGAGCCUCGUCGGUGACGAGGAGCCUGGCCAUACCAUCCCAGUCUAUGUUCUUUGAUGCUUUGAAAGCCACAUCCGUUAUCUUCUUCCCAGCCCCACUCAUCUUCUUCUUUUGCCCUCUCCCUCUCUAAUUGAUUGAGCUCUGAAAUGAGGGGUAAAGUUUACUGUUCUUCUGGUUUUAGUAAAUUUCAGAGUGGUUUUUGCUGCGUGCACCCCGAAUUUUGUUA